This 448-nucleotide ribosomal RNA is filed under the name uncultured bacterium. RNAcentral's name for it is "partial 16S ribosomal RNA". It matches the Rfam family "Bacterial small subunit ribosomal RNA", at positions 355 to 795 of the family's 1533-position model. The record is from RNAcentral.
UAGGGAAUCUUCCACAAUGGACGCAAGUCUGAUGGAGCAACGCCGCGUGAGUGAAGAAGGUUUUCGGACCGUAAAGCUCUGUUGUUGGUGAAGAAGGAUAGAGGUAGUAACUGGCCUUUAUUUGACGGUAAUCAACCAGAAAGUCACGGCUAACUACGUGCCAGCAGCCGCGGUAAUACGUAGGUGGCAAGCGUUGUCCGGAUUUAUUGGGCGUAAAGCGAGCGCAGGCGGAAGAAUAAGUCUGAUGUGAAAGCCCUCGGCUUAACCGAGGAAUUGCAUCGGAAACUGUUUUCUUGAGUGCAGAGGAGGAGAGUAGAACUCCAUGUGUAGCGGUGGAAUGCGUAGAUAUAUGGAAGAAUACCAGUGGCGAAGGCGGCUCUCUGGUCUGCAACUGACGCUGAGGCUCGAAAGCAUGGGUAGCGAACAGGAUUAGAUACCCUUGGUAGUC